GAGUUUGAUCCUGGCUCAGAACGAACGCUGGCGGCAGGCUUAACACAUGCAAGUCGAACGCGUGUAGCAAUACACGAGUGGCGCACGGGUGAGUAACACGUGGAUAUCUGCCUUUUGGUUCGGAAUAACCCUGGGAAACUAGGGCUAAUACCGGAUGGUUCCUACGGGAUAAAGAUUUAUCGCCAAAAGAUGAGUCCGCGUCCGAUUAGCUAGUUGGUGAGGUAAUGGCUCACCAAGGCGACGAUCGGUAGCUGGUCUGAGAGGACGAUCAGCCACACUGGGACUGAGACACGGCCCAGACUCCUACGGGAGGCAGCAGUGGGGAAUAUUGGACAAUGGGGGCAACCCUGAUCCAGCCAUGCCGCGUGAGUGAUGAAGGCCUUC
RNAcentral lists this ribosomal RNA (384 nucleotides) under uncultured Alphaproteobacteria bacterium. RNAcentral describes it as "bacterial SSU rRNA". It matches the Rfam family "Bacterial small subunit ribosomal RNA", at positions 9 to 419 of the family's 1533-position model. Lineage: Bacteria; Pseudomonadati; Pseudomonadota; Alphaproteobacteria. The record is from RNAcentral.